AUUGAACGCUGGCGGCAUGCUUUACACAUGCAAGUCGAACGGUAACAGGCCUUCGGGUGCUGACGAGUGGCGCACGGGUGCGUAAUGCAUCGGAACGUGCCCAGAGGUGGGGGAUAACGCAGCGAAAGCUGUGCUAAUACCGCAUGUGAUCUGAGGAUGAAAGCGGGGGACCAGGCAGCAAUGUUUGGCCUCGCGCCUUUGGAGCGGCCGAUGUCAGAUUAGGUAGUUGGUGGGGUAAAGGCCUACCAAGCCGACGAUCUGUAGCUGGUCUGAGAGGACGACCAGCCACACUGGGACUGAGACACGGCCCAGACUCCUACGGGAGGCAGCAGUGGGGAAUUUUGGGCAAUGGGCGCAAGCCUGAUCCAGCAAUGCCGCGUGCGGGAAGAAGGCCUUCGGGUUGUAAACCGCUUUUGUACGGAACGAAAAGGCUCUGGCUAAUACCUGGGGCUGAUGACGGUACCGUAAGAAUAAGCACCGGCUAACUACGUG
RNAcentral lists this ribosomal RNA (492 nucleotides) under uncultured bacterium. RNAcentral's name for it is "partial 16S ribosomal RNA". It matches the Rfam family "Bacterial small subunit ribosomal RNA", at positions 30 to 507 of the family's 1533-position model. The record is from RNAcentral.